AUGAUCCAGCUCCUCUUCACCUUGCUGGGCGCGGAGGCGGGCGUGGCGGCCGUCCUGCUCUUCAAGACGCCGCUGCGGAAGCUGGCGAUGCUCGCGCUCGACCGCCUCAAGCGCGGCCGGGCCCCCGUCAUGGUGCGCACCGUCGCCGCCACCGUCCUCGUCGUCCUCGCCUCCAGCCUCCACAGCAUGGCCAAGAUCCACGGCCACGCCGGCGCCGGCGAGCUCGACGCGCCCGGCGCGCUCAGCCCCACCGACCAGGUCCUCCUCGCCCGCCACCUCCUCGAGGCCUCCCUCAUGGGAUAUAUUUUAUUCCUUGCUCUCGUCAUUGACCGGCUACACAGCUACAUCAGAGAGAUGCGAGGGCUGAAGAAGAACCUGGAGGCUGUGUCGAAGCAGAACAAGACCUUAGAAGAAGCAAAAUCUGGAAGGUCCGACGAGAGCAAGCCACACCACAACGACAUUGCUUCGCUGAACGAGGAGAUCAAGAAGCUGAAGCGGCAACUGAAAGAAAAGGCGGAGGAGGCCAAGGAUGCAGAGGCCAAAGCACUAGCUGCCCAGACGCAGUCUGAAGGUCUUGCGCGCAAAUAUGACCGCCUGCUGGAGGACAACAAGCAUCUCCAUGACCAGCUGCAGUCAGGAGACAUCCCGCUGUCGCGUUCGGAUGGCAAGAAGAAUGCCUAA
Molecule: ribosomal RNA, 681 nt
Filed under: Triticum aestivum (bread wheat)
Lineage: Eukaryota; Viridiplantae; Streptophyta; Magnoliopsida; Poales; Poaceae
Description: partial small subunit ribosomal RNA
Source: RNAcentral